RNAcentral lists this small RNA (101 nucleotides) under Marmota monax (woodchuck). The record is from RNAcentral. Lineage: Eukaryota; Metazoa; Chordata; Mammalia; Rodentia; Sciuridae.
GCUGGGCGUGGUGGCGCACGCCUGGAAUCCCAACGGCUUGGGAGGCUGAGACAGGAGGAUCAAAGCCAAGCGCUAAGCAAUUCAGUGAGAUCCUGUCUCUA